AAAAAGGCAAACCAUGGGUUCCCGUGCCAACGUUUGACUGUCCGUCUUAUAUGAAAUUUUUUUAUAAUUAGUAUUUUAAUUGUUGUUAGAUGAUAAAACAUAAUUAAUACUUUAUGCGUGACUUAUCUUUUUAAUUUUUUUCAUAAUUUUUUCAAAUAAGACGAACGGUCAAACGUUGGACACGGAAACCAGGGUUUGUCUUUUU
RNAcentral lists this microRNA precursor (205 nucleotides) under Oryza nivara. Its description in RNAcentral is "MIR812 microRNA precursor family". It matches the Rfam family "MIR812 microRNA precursor family". Lineage: Eukaryota; Viridiplantae; Streptophyta; Magnoliopsida; Poales; Poaceae. The record is from Rfam by way of RNAcentral.